This 440-nucleotide ribosomal RNA is filed under the name uncultured bacterium. RNAcentral describes it as "partial 16S ribosomal RNA". It matches the Rfam family "Bacterial small subunit ribosomal RNA", at positions 338 to 795 of the family's 1533-position model. The record is from RNAcentral.
CCUACGGGUGGCAGCAGUGGGGAAUCUUCCACAAUGGGGGAAACCCUGAUGCAGCGACGCCGCGUGAGUGAAGAAGUAAUUCGUUAUGUAAAGCUCUAUCAUCAGGGAAGAAAAUGACGGUACCUGAGUAAUAAGCCCCGGCUAACUACGUGCCAGCAACCGCGGUAAUACUUAGGGGGCAAGCGUUAGGCGGAUUUACUGGGGGUAAAGGGAGCGGAGACGGCAGUGCAAGUCUGGAGUGAAAGGCGGGGGCUCAACCCCCGGACUGCACUGGAAACUGUACGGCUGGAGUGCAGGAGAGGUAAGUGGAACUCCUAGUGUAGCGGUGAAAUGCGUAGAUAUUAGGAGGAACACCAGUGGCGAAAGCGGCUUACUGGACUGUAACUGACGUUGAGGCUCGAAAGCGUGGGGAGCAAACAGGAUUAGAUACCCUGGUAGUC